Molecule: ribosomal RNA, 440 nt
Filed under: uncultured bacterium
Lineage: Bacteria
Description: bacterial SSU rRNA
Rfam family: Bacterial small subunit ribosomal RNA
Source: RNAcentral
AACGCGAAGAACCUUACCUGGAUUUGACAUCCUUCGACAACCCUAGAGAUAGGGCUUUUGUAGCAAUACAACGGAGAGACAGGUGCUGCAUGGCUGUCGUCAGCUCGUGUGGUGACAUGUUGGGUUAAGUCCCGCAACGAGCGCAACCCUUGUCUUUAGUUGCCAGCAUUCAGUUGGGCACUCUAAAGAGACUGCCGUGGUGAACACGGAGGAAGGUGGGGAUGACGUCAAGUCCUCAUGGCCUUUAUAUCCAGGGCGACACACGUGAUACAAUGGUCGGUACAGAGGGAAGCCAAAGCGCAAGCUGGAGCCAAUCUCAAAAAGCCGAUCUCAGUUCGGAUUGGAGUCUGCAACUCGACUCCAUGAAGUUGGAAUCGCUAGUAAUCGCGGAUCAGCACGCCGCGGUGAAUACGUUCCCGGGCCUUGUACACACCGGAGUA